RNAcentral lists this transfer RNA (72 nucleotides) under Demequina lignilytica. Its description in RNAcentral is "tRNA-Gln". It matches the Rfam family "tRNA". From Rfam's summary of the family: Transfer RNA (tRNA) molecules are approximately 80 nucleotides in length. Lineage: Bacteria; Bacillati; Actinomycetota; Actinomycetes; Micrococcales; Demequinaceae. The record is from RNAcentral.
UCCGCCCUGGUGUAAUGGCAGCAUGCGGGCCUUUGGAGCCCUGCGGUAGAGGUUCGAAUCCUCUGGGCGGAG